Long non-coding RNA from Carassius gibelio (silver crucian carp), 479 nucleotides. RefSeq lists it as uncharacterized. NCBI's taxonomy places the organism in Eukaryota, Metazoa, Chordata, Actinopteri, Cypriniformes, Cyprinidae. The record is from RefSeq and is a predicted model, not a curated record. The transcript is spliced from 4 exons.
UGCACUUCUCUUAACCUCUUAACCUCAGACACUUCAACAUCAGACAUCAGAACUGCACUGGAGAUUCACUAGACUGGAUUCAUCACAAGAGAUGAUGAAAAAUAGUUUAACAGAAAUUAAUUCAUGGGAGAAGAUCUGUGCAGCAUCACAAACUGAAGGAGAAUUAAACAGAGAGGAAAAGAAAAAUGUCAAACAAAGAGGACGAGGUAAAAUGUACUGAACCAGAAGAGAAAAACCUCUUGAGACGAGUCAGACGGAACAGUAUUAAUAGUGGAAGACCAAACUUUUCUGAUGUUGCAGACAGGUUUAUUCAGAGUGGCUCUCAGAUGAGACAGGAGCAGCUUCUUUCGUCUGACCAGCUGAAUAUUCUUUAUAUUCAGUCUCUAACAAAACACUGCUUUAUUUUAGAUCGUUUGUUCUAUUUUUGUGUUACUAUCUUUUCAAAGUAUUAUAGACUAUAUAAUAAGCCAAUAUCAACU